Non-coding RNA from Equus caballus (horse), 1157 nucleotides. The record is from RefSeq and is a predicted model, not a curated record. Lineage: Eukaryota; Metazoa; Chordata; Mammalia; Perissodactyla; Equidae.
GGGGCGGGGCGGGGCGGGAGCUGGGCCCUCAGCCGGCCUCACGUCGCCGCUCCACGUGUGCCUUUUGCACGUGGCUCCCCAACGAGGAACCCCGGAACUCGAGGCCCCGCCCUCUCCAUUUCCCGUCAAUCAGGAGCCUCAGGCCCGCCCCUGACCCGCCCCUCCCCGGCGUCGGGGUUGUCCGGUGAGCCCCGAACGCGAGCUGGGCCUGGACUUCCGAGGGGAGGAGAGAAUGGAACACGCGUUGCCGGGGCGACCGGAGGGGCGGAGCUCAUUAUGUAACGGGGCCGGGAGGCAACGACCAAUGAGGUGGCGGCCACGGCUUCUGCUGAAUGAAAACAAACGCAGCACGUGGGCCCGGCUCCGCAGCCAUGUGAGCCCUCCGGGCCACCCGGGAGCUGUGGGUGUCCUCCCUGGGGCCGAGCACCACUCUCCCGGCUCCUCAAGUGCCGCUCUCUACUGUCACUGAGGAUUCCCCAGGCACAGAUGGAAGUGAGGAGACAGUGACAGAGAAAGGAUGAGGGUAAAGGAACCUCAGUACCUGUGUUGUUGUUGGAGUCCAGGGUCGUCAUGUCUUCACCAGGUAUGAUUCUAGGUGCCAAAGAUACAGCAGUGAACAAAACAUGAAACCUACAUUCAAGUGGGAGAAGACAAUAAACAAGGUAAAGGGAUAAAUCGCUUCACAGAUUUCCUUCGCUGCAACCCUUCAUGAACCUCCAGAAGAUGCUCAAGUGACUUAAGAAGGCUGGGGAGAUGGUCGUUGGGAAAGAACUGUUGGUAGUUGGCAAUACUUCAUUCCAGGGAGGUUGUGGCAACAACUCCCUCGGCUGCAGACAUCAUGGAUUUUCCUCCCUCUGGGAACCAGAGGUCCCUCCGUUUCUGGAGGCGUGCGGGGCUGCGGGGCCCCUGCGACCAGGGCCAGGCCAGUUGCCAAGGUGCCCGUGGAAGGGGCCGCCCCGAGCAGGCCGGGGACAAGGAGCGCACGGUACACUUUCACGAAGGGCGCAUCUGCUCCUGAAGCCCCCUUCUCCCUCUCGACUUCAUUCUCUCGCGCCCCUUUCUCCCGGGGAGCCUCCGCAUUCCCCAUUUACCCGUCGCGCCCUCGCCCUUUCUUCCCUCCUCCUGACCCUCCCCCGGCUCGCCCCUCCCUCGGCAGC